This 339-nucleotide ribosomal RNA is filed under the name uncultured bacterium. RNAcentral describes it as "bacterial SSU rRNA". It matches the Rfam family "Bacterial small subunit ribosomal RNA", at positions 30 to 369 of the family's 1533-position model. The record is from RNAcentral.
AUUGAACGCUGGCGGCAUGCCUUACACAUGCAAGUCGAACGGCAGCACGGGAGCAAUCCUGGUGGCGAGUGGCGAACGGGUGAGUAAUAUAUCGGAACGUGCCCAGUCGUGGGGAUAACGUAGCGAAAGCUACGCUAAUACCGCAUACGAUCUAUGGAUGAAAGCGGGGGAUCGCAGACCUCGCGCGAUUGGAGCGGCCGAUAUCAGAUUAGGUAGUUGGUGAGGUAAAGGCUCACCAAGCCCGACGGAUCUGUAGCUGGUCUGAGAGGACGACCAGCCACACUGGGACUGAGACACGGCCCAGACUCCUACGGGAGGCAGCAGUGGGGAAUUUUGGAC